This 87-nucleotide transfer RNA is filed under the name Escherichia coli. RNAcentral's name for it is "tRNA-Leu". It matches the Rfam family "tRNA". Rfam says of the family: Transfer RNA (tRNA) molecules are approximately 80 nucleotides in length. Their secondary structure includes four short double-helical elements and three loops (D, anti-codon, and T loops). Lineage: Bacteria; Pseudomonadati; Pseudomonadota; Gammaproteobacteria; Enterobacterales; Enterobacteriaceae. The record is from RNAcentral. RNAcentral also lists the same sequence under 3 other names.
GCCCGGAUGGUGGAAUCGGUAGACACAAGGGAUUUAAAAUCCCUCGGCGUUCGCGCUGUGCGGGUUCAAGUCCCGUUCCGGGUACCA